UACGUAGGGGGCAAGCGUUGUCCGGAAUUAUUGGGCGUAAAGAGCGCGUAGGCGGUCCGAUAAGUCGGCUGUGAAAGUCAGGGGCUCAACCCUUGAAAGCCGGCCGAUACUGUCGGACUAGAGUCCGGAAGAGGCAAGUGGAAUUCCCGGUGUGGCGGUGAAAUGCGCAGAUAUCGGGAGGAACACCAAUGGCGAAGGCAGCUUGCUGGGACGGUACUGACGCUGAGGCGCGAAAGCGUGGGGAGCAAACAGG
RNAcentral lists this ribosomal RNA (253 nucleotides) under uncultured bacterium. RNAcentral's name for it is "partial 16S ribosomal RNA". It matches the Rfam family "Bacterial small subunit ribosomal RNA", at positions 524 to 776 of the family's 1533-position model. The record is from RNAcentral.